Molecule: ribosomal RNA, 497 nt
Filed under: uncultured bacterium
Lineage: Bacteria
Description: partial 16S ribosomal RNA
Rfam family: Bacterial small subunit ribosomal RNA
Source: RNAcentral
GAUGAACGCUGGCGGCGUGCCUGAUACAUGCAAGUCGAGCGAACAGACGAGGAGCUUGUUCCUCUGACGUUAGCGGCGGACGGGUGAGUAACACGUGGAUAACCUACCUAUAAGACUGGGAUAACUUCGGGAAACCGGAGCUAAUACCGGAUAAUAUAUUGAACCGCAUGGUUCAAUAGUGAAAGACGGUUUUGCUGUCACUUAUAGAUGGAUCCGCGCCGCAUUAGCUAGUUGGUAAGGUAACGGCUUACCAAGGCAACGAUGCGUAGCCGACCUGAGAGGGUGAUCGGCCACACUGGAACUGAGACACGGUCCAGACUCCUACGGGAGGCAGCAGUAGGGAAUCUUCCGCAAUGGGCGAAAGCCUGACGGAGCAACGCCGCGUGAGUGAUGAAGGUCUUCGGAUCGUAAAACUCUGUUAUUAGGGAAGAACAAAUGUGUAAGUAACUAUGCACGUCUUGACGGUACCUAAUCAGAAAGCCACGGCUAACUACGUG